RNAcentral lists this ribosomal RNA (253 nucleotides) under uncultured prokaryote. RNAcentral's name for it is "partial 16S ribosomal RNA". It matches the Rfam family "Bacterial small subunit ribosomal RNA", at positions 524 to 776 of the family's 1533-position model. The record is from RNAcentral.
GACGAACCACACAAACGUUAUUCGGAAUUACUGGGCUUAAAGGGUGCGUAGGCUGCGCAGUAAGUUGGGUGUGAAAUACCUCGGCUCAACCGAGGAACUGCGCCCAAAACUACUGUGCUUGAGGAAGAUAGAGGUGAGCGGAACUUACGGUGGAGCGGUGAAAUGCGUUGAUAUCGUAAGGAACACCUGUGGCGAAAGCGGCUCACUGGGUCUUUUCUGACGCUGAUGCACGAAAGCUAGGGGAGCAAACGGG